RNAcentral lists this transfer RNA (74 nucleotides) under Schistocerca americana (American grasshopper). RNAcentral's name for it is "tRNA-Thr". It matches the Rfam family "tRNA". From Rfam's summary of the family: Transfer RNA (tRNA) molecules are approximately 80 nucleotides in length. Their secondary structure includes four short double-helical elements and three loops (D, anti-codon, and T loops). The record is from RNAcentral. Lineage: Eukaryota; Metazoa; Arthropoda; Insecta; Orthoptera; Acrididae.
UCCUCGGUGGCUCACAUGGAUAGAGCGUCUGCCAUGUAAGCAGGAGAUCCCAGGUUCGAGUCCUGGUCGGGGAA